RNAcentral lists this ribosomal RNA (482 nucleotides) under uncultured bacterium. Its description in RNAcentral is "partial 16S ribosomal RNA". It matches the Rfam family "Bacterial small subunit ribosomal RNA", at positions 30 to 507 of the family's 1533-position model. The record is from RNAcentral.
AUUGAACGCUGGCGGCAUGCUUUACACAUGCAAGUCGAACGGUAACAGGCCGCAAGGUGCUGACGAGUGGCGCACGGGUGAGUAAUGCAUCGGAACGUGCCCAGUCGUGGGGGAUAACUACUCGAAAGAGUAGCUAAUACCGCAUACGAUCUAUGGAUGAAAGCGGGGGACCGUAAGGCCUCGCGCGAUUGGAGCGGCCGAUGUCAGAUUAGGUAGUUGGUGGGGUAAAGGCUCACCAAGCCAACGAUCUGUAGCUGGUCUGAGAGGACGACCAGCCACACUGGGACUGAAACACGGCCCAGACUCCUACGGGAGGCAGCAGUGGGGAAUUUUGGACAAUGGGCGCAAGCCUGAUCCAGCAAUGCCGCGUGCAGGAAGAAGGCCUUCGGGUUGUAAACUGCUUUUGUACGGAACGAAACGGCUCUGGUUAAUACCCGGGGCUAAUGACGGUACCGUAAGAAUAAGCACCGGCUAACUACGUG